Molecule: RNA transcript, 1580 nt
Organism: Drosophila mojavensis
Lineage: Eukaryota; Metazoa; Arthropoda; Insecta; Diptera; Drosophilidae
Gene name: trypsin I-P1-like
Exons: 6
Source: RefSeq, a predicted model, not a curated record
GUUACUUACAAUGACUUAUAAAUCAGUAGGCUUAUGAGUUUCGUUCAAUUAACAACUAAUAUUUCGAGAUUUAUAAAAUUCCAAAUUUCCUUGUCUGAAUUUUAGAAAACAAAUAUUAUGUCUCUAAUGCUAAUAUUGAUGAUUCAUAUCGUUUUAUUUUAUCCAUUGACAUCGGCGAAUGCUGCUUCAGACAAUGUUACUUUCAAAAUUAUAAACGGGUUUUCUUGCAACAUCAAGGAGACUCCCUAUCAGGUCUCACUGCGCUAUGCCUAUAGAGAGAGAAAACGAUGGGGCAGCGGCCAUUAUUGCGGUGGAACUAUUGUUAGCAAUCGUGCGAUUAUCACUGCAGCUCAUUGCCUAAGGGGGAGGCGCCAUAAGAAAGAAGUAGUAGUUGUAGUAGGAAACACUUUUCUAGACGACAGAUCUGCAACAACGAAGGAGCUGGAAAUCUUAUCUUGGCGUGUUCACCAAAAAUAUACUAAGCCAUUGAACGAUAUUGCAUUGAUCUUUACUGUCGAGCAUAUACAACCCAUUAGUGGGGCUAUUGAGAUUUUGCCCCUAAACACGAGGGAAGUCGACGUGGGUACCAGAUGUCUAGUAUCCGGCUGGGGUCAAGCCAAUCACUUUGUGCCAGAUCGCACGAAUGAUCUGAGGGCGCAAUGGAUACAGAUUGUCAGCCCUAAAAUCUGUAGGAAGCUCUAUCGUAUACCUAAAGUAAUUUGCGCCGGCGAUGAGUCCACUACUGGGCCCAGCUUUGGUGAUUCGGGGGGCCCGUUGAGGUGCGAAGAUAAAUUGUCGGGUAUCGUCUCUGUGGGAAGGCUUGAGGGUGGUCCGACCGCAUACACAAGUAUUCGGGAUUUAUACCCUUGGAUACGACGUGAGCUCAGUAGCUUCAAUGGAGCUCCGCCAAUGCGACCGUCUUGCAUCCAGAGACAGGUUGUUUUGGCCAUCACCAUUUAUAUGGUAACAAAAUGAUUCAUUCUGCUCUACGUAUUAAAACAUGUGGAAAUGAAGAAGUCCAGGUAUGUAGAAGCUGCUGGUAUGUGAUAUAUGUGUAACUAGCUCUAAUCAAGAGAUCAGUCAAUAAGGAUCAGAGUGGACUUUUUAUAUAGUUUUUGAAGAAUUGAUACCAACUAAUGUGUAUUUAUAUUGAGGACUAUAACUUUUAUUAAAAUCAACUAUUAACUUGAAUGCAAUUCUCAAGGAAUAUUGAAAAUGACUCCAUAAAAGCUCCACCCAUCGGCAAACCCAUUGGUCAAAUUUGUUUACAUUCCGCUUGGAAACUGGGUCAUUGUGAGCGCGAGCGAGCGAGAUGGCAACAGCAAUGUUGUUAAGCGAUUGUUCGCCGCUGGGACGCAGCUUGAAAUCGCCAACACGAUGGCAACGUGGGACAUGCCCUACCAGCGGCGAUAACAACAAACUGAUCAAAAAAAAAUCAGCAUAACGUUCAAGCCGCUGUAAAUGCUCUAUCUCGUGGAACGAUAAUUGGCCAGAAAUCGCAACUAACUUCAAAUUAUUGUUCAUAUUUUUAUGGAAUGACCUAAGAAAUGGAAAGAAAUAAUUGUAAAUAAUUUUUAAUA